GCGAACAGACGGGGGCGUCCGCUGAAGCGGGCUGAGAAGCACCCUUUGAACCUGAACCAGAUCAUGCUGGCGGAGGGAGUCGCGGGUCGAGAUAC
Molecule: non-coding RNA, 95 nt
Filed under: Rhizobium sp.
Lineage: Bacteria; Pseudomonadati; Pseudomonadota; Alphaproteobacteria; Hyphomicrobiales; Rhizobiaceae
Also listed under: 1 other name
Description: TPP sequence
Rfam family: TPP riboswitch aptamer (THI element)
About the family: Vitamin B(1) in its active form thiamin pyrophosphate (TPP) is an essential coenzyme that is synthesised by coupling of pyrimidine and thiazole moieties in bacteria.
Source: RNAcentral